GUAACCGGGCGCGAUACGUUCAGUGUACCCGCGUCAUCCCGCAAGCCAUUCAUAGAUAACGGGACGAGGCGGCGCCCGCGCACCCACGCCCGGAGACGAAAUGAAGCACCCCACGAACACCUAGUUCGUACAGUGCGUGCAGUGAUCACAAUAACAACCACUAUCAGCAGCAAAAGUGAUGCAUAAUGUUCGUAUUGUUACAAAGUCAGCAUUACGAUAAAAAAAGGGACAAAUUAAGCAGCAUGGCUGCACGCACCAGAGUUUAAAAUGUUGAGGUGAUGGAUUACAAUGUACUACAGCGUGCAGCCCGCACCACGCAGCCAACCACGGAACACGGAGCCAAUACUGCGCGUGAAUACAUUCGAAGUCACGGAGGGGUGGUCUCAAGGUGUUCCAUAUGAAGCUGGCUGCAUAACGGAACGAGUUGCGAAACAGUGCGGUUUUGUGCUUCGGAGUGACCAUAAGAUAAGUGGACGCCCUAGUAUUUAUUGUAUGAUGGUUACGAGACCAUUCAAGUUUAUUGUAAAGGUACUGGGGUGAUUUGAACUUUAUAACGCCAAACAGGAGCGCGGCAAGGUGCAGCCGCUGUCUGGCGGCUACCUUCAGUAGCCCGCAAGAGUUGAGAUAAGGGGUAACAUGGGAGCGGGGAGGGAUAUCCAUACAGAAUCUAAUACAGGCGUUUUGUACCCUUUGCAGUAGCUUUUCCGUUUUCCGUAAAAGACAUGGGCCAUAUACAGUGUCCGCAUAAUUUAGUUUAGACAGAACAAGCGACUCACAUAACUGUAUUCGCAGGUCAACAUUAAUGUACCGUCUAAUUUUAUAAAGAGUCUUGAGUCUGAAGAAGCAGUUUUUGACCAUUUCAAUUGCGUGUUUUUCAAACCGUAAAUAAUUGUCGAAUGUUAGGCCUAGGUUACGAGCUUCGGUUACCUGUUCAAUAUCUACUCCUGCUAGUUUUA
Plutella xylostella (diamondback moth) is the source of this 956-nucleotide long non-coding RNA. RefSeq lists it as uncharacterized. The record is from RefSeq and is a predicted model, not a curated record. NCBI's taxonomy places the organism in Eukaryota, Metazoa, Arthropoda, Insecta, Lepidoptera, Plutellidae.